This 468-nucleotide ribosomal RNA is filed under the name uncultured bacterium. Its description in RNAcentral is "partial 16S ribosomal RNA". It matches the Rfam family "Bacterial small subunit ribosomal RNA", at positions 28 to 507 of the family's 1533-position model. The record is from RNAcentral.
GACGAACGCUGGCGGCGUGCUUAACACAUGCAAGUCGAACGGAAAGGCCCUGUUUUUGUGGGAUCCUCGAGUGCCGAACGGGUGAGUAACACGUGAGUAGCCUCCCCUUUACUUUGGGAGAACUUCAUUAAACUGGGGUUAAUACCCCAUAUGAACUCCUGCUGCAUGGUUUUGAUUGUAAAGUUUCGGCGGUUCGGCAUGGACUGGAGGCCUAUCAUCUUGUUGGUGGGGUAGUGGCUUACCAAGGCUCUGACGAGUAGCCGGACUGAGAGGGUGACCGGCCCCAUUGGGAUUGAGAUACGGGCAAGACUGAUACGGGAGGCAGGAGUGGGGAACAGUGCACGAUGGGCGGAAGGAUGAUGCAGGAACGUCGCGUGCGGGAUCACGGUCGUCGGGUUGUAACCCGCUUUCGCCUGUGAAGAAGCGCGAGUGACGGUAAUGGGUCAAGAAGCAACGGCUAACUACGUG